AGGUUACUGCUAUCGGUGUUCGCUUAAGCCAUGCGAGUCAUAUGUUCUUCGUGAACAUGGCGUACUGCUCAGUAACACGUGGAUAACCUGCCCUUGGGUCCGGCAUAACCCCGGGAAACUGGGGAUAAUUCCGGAUAACGCACGUAUGCUGGAAUGCUUUAUGCGUCAAAUGGAUUCGUCCGCCCAAGGAUGGGUCUGCGGCCUAUCAGGUAGUAGUGGGUGUAAUGUACCUACUAGCCUACGACGGGUACGGGUUGUGAGAGCAAGAGCCCGGAGAUGGAUUCUGAGACAUGAAUCCAGGCCCUACGGGGCGCAGCAGGCGCGAAAACUUUACAAUGCGGGAAACCGUGAUAAGGGGACACCGAGUGCCAGCAUCAUAUGCUGGCUGUCCGGGUGUGUAAAAUACACCUGUUAGCAAGGGCCGGGCAAGACCGGUGCCAGCCGCCGCGGUAACACCGGCGGCCCUAGUGGUGAUCGUGAUUAUUGGGUCUAAAGGGUCCGUAGCCGGUUUGGUCAGUCCUCCGGGAAAUCUGACGGCUUAACCGUUAGGCUUUCGGGGGAUACUGCCAGACUUGGAACCGGGAGAGGUAAGAGGUACUACAGGGGUAGGAGUGAAAUCUUGUAAUCCCUGUGGGACCACCUGUGGCGAAGGCGUCCUACCAGAACGGGUUCGACGGUGAGGGACGAAAGCUGGGGGCACGAACCGGAUUAGAUACCCGGGUAGUCCCAGCCGUAAACGAUGCUCGCUAGGUGUCAGGCAUGGCGCGACCGUGUCUGGUGCCGCAGGGAAGCCGUGAAGCGAGCCACCUGGGAAGUACGGCCGCAAGGCUGAAACUUAA
This 839-nucleotide ribosomal RNA is filed under the name uncultured archaeon. RNAcentral's name for it is "bacterial SSU rRNA". It matches the Rfam family "Archaeal small subunit ribosomal RNA", at positions 21 to 859 of the family's 1478-position model. The record is from RNAcentral.